RNAcentral lists this long non-coding RNA (1843 nucleotides) under Salmo salar (Atlantic salmon). Its description in RNAcentral is "lncRNA (ENSSSAG00000116068.1)". The record is from RNAcentral. Lineage: Eukaryota; Metazoa; Chordata; Actinopteri; Salmoniformes; Salmonidae.
AUUUGUUAGCAUGUAGUUGGUAGUAUGUAGUUAGUAGUAUGUAGUUAGUAGUAUGUAGUUAGUAGUAUCUAGUUGGUAGUAUCUAUUUAGUAGUAUGUAGUAGGUAGUUGGUAGUAUGUAGUUGGUAGUAUGUAGUUGGCAGUAUGUAUUUGGUAGUAUGUCAUUGGCAGUAUCUAUUUAGUAGUAUGUAGUUGGUAGUAUGUAGUUGGUAGUAUGUCAUUGGCAGUAUCUAUUUAGUAGUAUGUAGUUGGUAGUAUGUAGUUGGUAGUAUGUACUUGUUAGUAUGUAUUUAGUAGUAUGUAGUUGGUAGUUGGUAGUAUGUAUUUGGUAGUAUGUAGUUGGUAGUAUUUAUUUAGUAGUGUGUAGUUGGUAGCUGGUAGUAUGUAUUUGGUAGUAUGUAGUUGGUAGUAUGUAGUUGGUUGUAUGUAGUUGGUAGCUGGUAGUAUGUAUUUGGUAGUAUGUAGUUGGUAGUAUGUAGUUGGUUGUAUGUAGUUGGUAGUUGGUAGUAUGUAUUUGGUAGUAUGUAGUUGGUAGUAUCUAUUUAGUAGUAUGUAGUAGGUAGUUGGUAGUAUGUAGUUGGCAGUAUGUAGUUGGUAGUAUGUAGUUGGUAGUAUGUAGUUGGUAGUUGAUAGUAUGUAUUUGGUAGUAUGUAGUUGGUAGUUGGUAGUAUGUAUUGGGUAGUAUGUAUUUGGUAGUAUGUAGUUGGUAGUAUUUAUUUAGUAGUGUGUAGUUGGUAGCUGGUAGUAUGUAUUUGGUAGUAUGUAGUUGGUAGUAUGUAGUUGGUAGUAUGUAGUUGGUAGUAUGUAGUUGGCAGUAUGUAUUUGGUAGUAUGUCGUUGGCAGUAUCUAUUUAGUAGUAUGUAGUUGGUAGUAUGUAGUUGGUAGUAUGUACUUGUUAGUAUGUAUUUAGUAGUAUGUAGUUGGUAGUUGGUAGUAUGUAUUUGGUAGUAUGUAGUUGGUAGUAUUUAUUUAGUAGUGUGUAGUUGGUAGCUGGUAGUAUGUAUUUGGUUGUAUGUAGUUGGUAGUAUGUAGUUGGUUGUAUGUAGUUGGUAGCUGGUAGUAUGUAUUUGGUAGUAUGUAGUUGGUAGUAUGUAGUUGGUUGUAUGUAGUAUGUAGUUGGUAGUAUGUAUUUGGUAGUAUGUAGUUGGUAGUAUUUAUUUAGUAGUGUGUAGUUGGUAGCUGGUAGUAUGUAUUUGGUAGUAUGUAGUUGGUAGUAUGUAUUUGGUAGUAUGUAGUUGGUAGUAUGUAUUUGGUAGUAUGUAGUUGGUAGUUGGUAGUAUGUAGUUGUUAACACUUUAUAUCACAAGUUAUGUUGUCUUUAUAUAUGACAGUACAAAUAUGCCCAGGUAUUUACUUCUAAACUACAUGUUAAAUGGACAGUACAGUAAUAAUAGCCUGCUAUGUGGCUACGGGCUGUGCUUGCGCAGGAAUAGGAGGAGCUGAGUGGGAGCCAAACCAAGCUUUGGUGUUUAGCGUGCAGGACAGGUCAGGACAGGACAGGUCGGGACAGGUCAGAGAGCUGGCAUCAUUCACCACCUCUUAGGCUCCUUCCUCCUCCUCGUCUUCCUCUCCCUCCUCUUAAGGCUUUUCCAGUAGGUCAGUGUUACAGAGGAGACACGUUCCUCCUCCUCCUCCUCCUCCUCCUCCUAUUCCCCCUCUUCCUCCUCUCCCUCCCUCUCCUCUUCCUCCUCCUCCUCCUCCUAUUCCCCCUCUUCCUCCUCCCCCUCUCUCUCCUCUUCCUCCUCCUCCUCCUCCUAUUCCCCCUCUUCCUCCUCCCCCUCCCUCUCCUCCUCCUCCUCCUCCUCCUCCUAUUCCCCCUCUUCCUCCUCCCCCUCUCUCCCUCU